UCUGUUUUAUGUUUUAAUUGUGACCUACAGAUGAUAAUUAGCUAUAAACUAAAUCUGGUGCAGUACAUCAUUUAUGUUAAACACUACAUGGUCCCAAUAAAUACAUAAGACAAUAAAUGAAAUGACCUGAGUGCUGAAACAGCACUGAGAGAAAGACAAAAACUGAAUCAUAAAAAACAGCUUCUCUCCUCAGAGGAACAAGGCUGCACUUACUAACAUUUACAACUUGUCAGAUCUACAUGCAAACCUACGCAAACACCUUCACGAGCUCUGAGACAGAAGAAAUAUUUCCAUAACGACUCUUUGGGUCACUGUGUUAGAAAUAUGAGCACAGAAACUGGUUCAACAAGACCGAGGUGCAAACACAACUUAUACACCUUUCAUUCAUUAACUCAUUAACACACACACACACACACACACACACACACACCACAACGCUGCUAAAACAAGCAGCUCCUACUAAACACAACACAGAUCAAUAAUUCAGAAACAUGUGAGCUGACCACAAACAUCCAAAACACACAAAUUAAAAAAAAAACAAAACAAAACUAAGAAACAAAAUCAAACACUCAUCUCAAAACCAUACAGGCUCAUGACCUCUUAAAUCAAAGUGCAUUGUGGGUACAUCAGUAUCUACACACAUUAGCAGGUUACAGAAAGCUCUCGUCACAAAGUGCAGUUAGAUGUUUGAUGUUUCUCUCAUGUCUCAGGUUUUCUCUGAGGGGGAAAACAGUGUACUGAACAUGUGCUGCUGUGGUUGCCGGGGGCGACGACAGCGAUGAUGGUGGAGGGACUGGCUGCUUUAACUCUUCAGGUCAAAACCAGAAACAGAGAUGAUGCUGGAUAUGGAUGAAGCCAACACCUGUAACAUUCCCUCUCUCAUUGAUAACAGUGAUGGAUGACAGCAUCCGUCAUGACAUCAUGCUCCUGAAACUAACGGAAAAACCCUCUGUGAGGCCUCCCGUCAUCAGACUCCCUAUAUAGUAUAGUGUGUGUGUCUAAAACAUGAAAUGUGAAUAUUUUAUAUUGUAAUGUAAUACAGAAAGUUCUAUUUUAAAUCCACACAAACUGUCAUGUGUUGAUGUCUCACUGCAUCCAGACUGUGCUGGUUGAAACAAACAUCUGAUUACAUGAAAGAAGGUAAAUGUGCUGUAAAAGCCUCUAAAGCUGCCAGUCAGUGUCCUGUAACGUCUCCACUGGUCUCACACAUGGUUGUGAGGUGUACCAGUGCAGCUGCACCAGUGUCCAGUUAAAUGUUGUUGACUGAUGCAGAGGGAUCAUCAACACUUAUUAUGGGCCUGAAGCUUUUCAACAUCAGCCAUCAGACUGGAUCUCAGUGAGUGUGAGGAUGAUGAUGAUGAUGAUGAUGAUGACUGUAGUCAUGUAUGAUGAUUCAUAAUUAAUAUCAAACACAGUCUGUGCUCAUAAGGAGAAAGGAGGAGCACUUCCUGUCUUAUUUCACUGUCACAUGCUACAUGAAACAUCUGAUGUCAGCUUGUGAAUACUGACCUCAGUUAUACUGAAAGCACAAUAACUGCUUUAUAAAUGUGCAACAGGUGUGCAUGUCUUAUGAAGUCCAUAUGUAGGAAGCCUUCAAAUAAAGAAGGAAGCUGACACACAGCAAACACUGAGACCUGACUGUUGUUUUAAGGGGAAAUUUGCAUGAGAUUAAACUGAAGAAUUCAUUGUUCUGUGAAACGUCGCUGCCGUCCUGCACACCUGCUGAUCUGUAUGAAUGUGUCCAGAGUACGUGAUGGAACCUGAUUGGUCCACGCAGGAUGAGAGAGGACAGAUAAUAAAGAACAUUUAAAAACGAGCAACACUGUGACCCAGAGGCCGGAGAAGUGGACCGAGAAGGAAGACCACGAUGAAGAGUUUGAUCCUUCUGCUCGUCUUGGCGUCAGCAGUUUCUGGUGCUGUGGACAUCCAGAAAAGAGUGCUGAAUGGAGUGGAUUGCCUUGCUCAUGAGGGUCUGCAUUACGUGGAUCUGAGAGACAGUAAAAAUGAACAGAUGUUCUGUGGAGGGAAUCUGACCAGUCCAGAAUGGGUCCUCACUGCUGCACACUGUAAAACACCUACGUUUGUGGUGGGUUUGGGCAGAAAUCCAUCUGGAGAUGACACCAGAAUAAAGCGGCCAGACUGCAGUGUGCUGACGUUCCCCUGAGUUCAGGCUGCGACGGUCGUUACAAAGAACUCUAUCUUGGAAAAAAACAUCUUAUUCCUAAAUAUUUAAGAGGAUAUCUACUGUGCUCCUACAGCCCCUGGCAAUGUCAAGCCUGCCCAGGGGACUCUGGGGGCAGUCUGGUGAAGGAUGGUGUUCUGUAUGGAGUGACCGUAGCAUUUAACCGAACCCCCCCAUGGAGGACUUUCUUCAUUGAUGUCUGUGCUUAC
Molecule: long non-coding RNA, 2391 nt
Organism: Thunnus maccoyii (southern bluefin tuna)
Lineage: Eukaryota; Metazoa; Chordata; Actinopteri; Scombriformes; Scombridae
Exons: 5
Source: RefSeq, a predicted model, not a curated record